Molecule: ribosomal RNA, 459 nt
Filed under: uncultured bacterium
Lineage: Bacteria
Description: partial 16S ribosomal RNA
Rfam family: Bacterial small subunit ribosomal RNA
Source: RNAcentral
CCUACGGGAGGCAGCAGUGAGGAAUAUUGGUCAAUGGCCGAGAGGCUGAACCAGCCAAGUCGCGUGAGGGAAGACGGCCCUACGGGUUGUAAACCUCUUUUGUCGGGGAGCAAAGCGAACCACGUGUGGUUCAUUGAGAGUACCCGAAGAAAAAGCAUCGGCUAACUCCGUGCCAGCAGCCGCGGUAAUACGGAGGAUGCGAGCGUUAUCCGGAUUUAUUGGGUUUAAAGGGUGCGCAGGCGGGCGUUCAAGUCAGCUGUAAAAUCGCGCGGCUCAACCGCGCCCCGCAGUUGAAACUGGACGCUGUGAGUUCACAACAGGCAGGCGGAAUUCGUGGUGUAGCGGUGAAAUGCAUAGAUAUCACGAGGAACCCCGAUUGCGAAGGCAGCCUGCCGGGGUGCGACUGACGCUGAGGCUCGAAGGUGCGGGUAUCAAACAGGAUUAGAUACCCUUGUAGUC